RNAcentral lists this ribosomal RNA (433 nucleotides) under uncultured bacterium. RNAcentral describes it as "partial 16S ribosomal RNA". It matches the Rfam family "Bacterial small subunit ribosomal RNA", at positions 29 to 507 of the family's 1533-position model. The record is from RNAcentral.
AACGAACGCUGGCGGCAGGCUUAACACAUGCAAGUCGAACGGAUCCUUCGGGAUUAGUGGCAGACGGGUGAGUAACGCGUGGGAACGUACCCUUUGCUACGGAAUAACUCAGGGAAACUUGAGCUAAUACCGUAUGUGCCCUCCGGGGGAAAGAUUUAUCGGCAAAGGAUCGGCCCGCGUUGGAUUAGCUAGUUGGUGGGGUAAUGGCCUACCAAGGCGACGAUCCAUAGCUGGUCUGAGAGGAUGAUCAGCCACACUGGGACUGAGACACGGCCCAGACUCCUACGGGAGGCAGCAGUGGGGAAUAUUGGACAAUGGGCGCAAGCCUGAUCCAGCCAUGCCGCGUGAGUGAUGAAGGUCUUAGGAUUGUAAAGCUCUUUCACCGGUGAAGAUAAUGACGGUAGCCGGAGAAGAAGCCCCGGCUAACUUCGUG